UGUUGGCUGAUUUCUUUUGAUUUUCCCAUGAUGUCAAGCAAAGAGGCACUGAGUUUGAAGGUUAAGAGAGUCUAUCAUCUGAGGCUGCAGCAAUAUCCAUGACUGUACUUGAAAUGAUCCAAGACCACCGGUGAAGUGUUCAUGAGAGAAGUCCUUAUCAACCAGUGGAACAGAAGAAUUCCUCAGUCCCAGCAGACUGUCAGAACAUAAUUUCUAAUAGUUAUGUGGGACUGAUACCAGUGCGGAAGAGCUGGUCACUUUUAAAGGACUUUGUGAAUGAUUACCUUGACAAUAGGAAUCUUACUGUCUUGAAGACAAGUGAAAUAUGUUUUCUUGUGAAUCUCCACCUAUGUACACUCAGCAGGCCUACAAAUUGCACUUUGGUUUGUCCAUUUUCAUCUCACACGUUUUUACAUACAUUUUCCAAAAUGUAACAUUUCAAUAGCUCCUUGGUCAUGUGACCUACUGGACUCAAAACAAGGUUCAGAAUGGCCACUGAUUACCCUUUAUGUCGCACACCCUUUGGUUUGUCCAUUUUGGCCACUGAUUACCCUUCUGUCGCACACCCUUGUGUGCCCAUUUUCAUAUCACACAUUUUUCGUAUGUUCUAAUUUCAAUAGUCAGGAAACCUAAAAUGUACUCCGCCCAUCCAUGACAAAUCACAACUAUGUUUAAAAAGUCCCAAACAUUUUAUUAGCGUCAUUUCAUCUUCAUACUAAAAUUAACAAUUCUUUACCAUUAUAAUGGAGUAUUUUCAAUAUACAAGUAUCAAUAAGCAUGAUUAAAAGAUCACAAUGGCUUUGUUAUAUGUCUGUGUUAAAGAAUUUCCCAUAUCCUAUUAUAUUAAAAUAUUUAAUAUAUAUUGUCUGUAUUUAAACAGUUUCAAUAAUAAAAAGUGAGUUCCCAUACAAGGCAAUAACAGUAUUUAAUCAGAUCGGGAAUCUCAUAAAUUAAACUAAAAACAAAACAAAAAGCUAGUUGUUUUGAAUGUCCAUGAGGAGAGGAGAAUGGGUGAGUGAGUCUUUGAAGGAAAGACCUGACCCAAGAGAUGAGACGGCAUUCCAUUGCUUAGGGGCAAUUCCAAUUCCACAGUAACAGACAUCAUGCAUAGAGUUAUAUGGUUUGUUUAACUUUGCAAUCACUGCAAUCAAUUUUUGUUUGAAAUACAUUUUAAAGUGAAAUAUUUGAGUAUCAGUGGCACUGUUACCGUGGAAUUCCCCUUAGUCAACAACAUUCAAGGCAGGAAAUUAUAACGAGCUCUGUUCACCUUUAAAAACAUCUACAUUUCGGACUUUACAUUAAGUCUAGAGAUUUGUUCGACACAAUAAUAACCAAACUUCUGUCCUUUACCACUAAUUGGUAGAUGACUAUUGUCAUCAUCGUAGCUGAGAUAUACUGUAUUCUUAUGCAUAAGGGGACAUCCAAUAAUAAACAGUCCGAGGUUAGACGAUACUCCUUCAACAUGGCCUUCAGCAUGAUACAUAUAUUACUUUAUUAACAAAUACAACGGUGCUUUUUGAACAAGACUUCACAUCCAUAGCCAGAACUGUAUCUGAAAAGAUCUCUUAGAAAGCAUAGUUCUAUGAGAAUAAACACUGAUUUGCUCAAUCA
This is a long non-coding RNA of Oncorhynchus tshawytscha (Chinook salmon), 1611 nucleotides long. RefSeq lists it as uncharacterized. NCBI's taxonomy places the organism in Eukaryota, Metazoa, Chordata, Actinopteri, Salmoniformes, Salmonidae. The transcript has 2 exons. The record is from RefSeq and is a predicted model, not a curated record.